This 504-nucleotide ribosomal RNA is filed under the name uncultured bacterium. RNAcentral's name for it is "partial 16S ribosomal RNA". It matches the Rfam family "Bacterial small subunit ribosomal RNA", at positions 30 to 523 of the family's 1533-position model. The record is from RNAcentral.
AUUGAACGCUGGCGGCAUGCCUAACACAUGCAAGUCGAACGGUAGCACAGAGAGCUUGCUCUCGGGUGACGAGUGGCGGACGGGUGAGUAACGUCUGGGAAACUGCCCGAUGGAGGGGGAUAACUACUGGAAACGGUAGCUAAUACCGCAUAACGUCGCAAGACCAAAGUGGGGGACCUUCGGGCCUCACACCAUCGGAUGUGCCCAGAUGGGAUUAGCUAGUAGGUGGGGUAAUGGCUCACCUAGGCGACGAUCCCUAGCUGGUCUGAGAGGAUGACCAGCCACACUGGAACUGAGACACGGUCCAGACUCCUACGGGAGGCAGCAGUGGGGAAUAUUGCACAAGGGGCGCAAGCCUGAUGCAGCCAUGCCGCGUGUAUGAAGAAGGCCUUCGGGUUGUAAAGUACUUUCAGCGGGGAGGAAGGCGGUGAAGUUAAUAACUUCACCGAUUGACGUUACCCGCAGAAGAAGCACCGGCUAACUCCGUGCCAGCAGCCGCCGUAA